UCGAGUCUAUGCGCCGGGUCCACUUGAAGAGUGUUUGGAAUCCUUCACCUCGCUUCUCCCUCCUGAGUCAUCUCCCACCCAUUAAAAUGCAGAGCGGCAGAGCUUGGUCUCCUCCUGGACAAAAUCAGCUCCCGAAAUCCAAAAUUGAAACAGGUGGUUUUGAGCUUGGGGCUUGCUCGGAGGACCGAUUUUGGAGCCGGCGAAGGGAUGUCAGGACCCCUCGAUCGAUUUGCUAGGCCAUGUUUUGAAGGGCUUGUACAUAACGAUGAAAGGAAAGAGAGCAGAUCUGAUGCAGACAACUCAGAAGGAGAUAAGAAGACAAAAAUUGGCUCUUUCAAGAAAAAAGCAAUUAAUGCAGGGAAUAAAUUCAGGCAUUCCUUGAGAAGGAGAAGCAAAAAGAAAAAUGAACCUAGGGAUUCCAUCAAGGACAUAAGGGAUAUUAAAGAGCUCCAAGAUGUCGAGACAUUUCGACAAUGCUUAAUUGAUGAGGAUUUACUGCCACAACAGCAUGAUGAUUAUCACAUGAUGUUGAGGUUCCUAAAAGCGCGGAAAUUUGAUGUUGAGAAAGCAAAGAAUAUGUGGUCAGACAUGCUUAGAUGGAGGAAGGAAUUCGGGACCGACAAAAUAGAGGAAUUUGACUACACCGAGUUAGAUGAAGUUACAAAGUAUUACCCACAAUUUUAUCAUGGGGUGGAUAAAGAGGGUAGACCUAUCUACAUAGAGUUAAUAGGAAAAGUUGAUGCAAACAAGCUAGUUCAAGUAACAACCAUCGAUCGGUAUGUGAGAUACCAUGUCAAGGAGUUUGAGAGAUGUUUCCAGAUGAGAUUUCCAGCUUGCUCAAUUGCUGCAAAAAAACACAUAGACUCAUCUACGACUAUUUUGGAUGUGCAAGGAGUGGGUUUCAAGAACUUCUCAAAAUCUGCGAGGGAAUUAGUCGCACGACUGCAGAAGAUCGAUGGUGAUAACUACCCAGAGACAUUGUGCCGAAUGUAUAUAAUUAAUGCUGGCCAAGGCUUCAAGAUGUUAUGGAACACAAUAAAAUCGUUCCUUGAUCCAAAAACUGCUUCCAAGAUCCAUGUUCUCGGGAAUAAGUACCAACAUAAGUUGCUUGAAAUUAUUGAUGAGUGUGAAUUGCCGGAAUUUCUUGGUGGUAAAUGCAAGUGUGAUGAAUAUGGAGGUUGUCAAAAAUCUGACAAAGGUCCCUGGAAGGAUCCCGAAAUAAUAAAGAGAGUUCUCAAUGGCGAGGCAAACUACGGAAGGCAAAUUGUGACUAUAUCCAGCACUGAUGGAAAGAUAAUUAGUUAUGCUAGGCCAGAGUACCCAGCCAGAAAAGGCAGUGAUGCAUCUGCUGAGUCUGGGUCUGAAGUGGAAGACGUAACAUCUCCUACUGCAUCAAGGAAUCUGAUCACACACCCUAUUUUGACCCCUGUUCACGAGGAGGCUUUUAACCAGCAUGCUUUCCAUUCCAAGAAAAAAAAAACGCGGCCGGGGGGUGGGGGGGUGAACGGACCCCACCAUUUUUCAUUAAGAGGAAGCAACACGGCUUCACCCGGCCGCGGAAAACCCCCCCGAACCCUGGCCCAUGCCCAAGAGGGCCAAGCCUUGCGGCGAGCACAGCGAGGGGGAUUUUUUUUUGCCCACGAGAAAGUUCGUCCCGGCUGGGAAUCGAACCAGCGACCUCGAGUGGGAGUGCCAUCGGGCUGGGCUAGCCAGUUGGCCGCCCAACCUUAGGCUGCUUUCCAUUCCAAGCAUUUAAAAUUGCCAGCACAUGCUUUGGCAUCUGUUGCUCAUGCUUCAAUUGAAAGCAUUCCUGUUGUGGACAAGGUUGUUGAUGAUGGAUGGGGUAGUCCCAGAGCUAGUCUACACGUUUCUUCCUCAGGUUCAUUUUCCUUGAGAAAUUUGCCUGGCACAUUUGAAGGACUCCGAGCUCAAAUAAUCACGUGGCUGACGGUCUUGGUCAUGACCCUUUUUGCCAUGCUCUGUUCUGUUCCAAGCAAGAUGGCUAGAAGAAUCUCUAACCAAUCUGUUAAGCAUGACGACUAUCAUGUUGAGUAUCCUCAAGAACAGGAGUACAAGGAGGAGUUCCGACCUCCGUCUCCUGCCCCAUCCUAUACCGAGAAGGAUGUGCUUUCAUCUAUGCUGAGACGGCUAGGUGAGCUUGAGGACAAGGUGCAGAUACUGGAGACAAAGCCGUCUGAGAUGCCAUUUGAAAAGGAAGAAUUGCUCAAUGCAGCCGUCCACCGUGUGGAUGCAUUGGAGGCUGAGUUAAUUUCCACAAAGAAGGCCCUCUAUGAUGCCUUGAUGCGACAGGACGAGCUGCUCGCGUACAUUGACAAGCAAGAGCUGAUCAAAUUUCGUAAGAAGAAGUUCUGCUUCUAAGAGCUGGGCGCGGAGCAGCUAGCUGUUCUUCACACGCAGAGCCGUUCGUGUAUAUUGGAUUGCGGCUAAUGUGUUGUAUGUAUGUAUCAAUGUAUGUAUAUUUUGUUGGUCCAUAGAAGUUUCAAGUGUGUAGUUGGUAGUAAAAGAUAGGCGUGCCGUUGGGUGCCUGGGUAUCUGAUGUUUCGGGCUCUUCAUGUCUGUUACACAUUCGACGAGCUAGGACCCGAAAGGCCAAGGUGUUUUGUACUGUAUGCUCUACCCUGUGAAGAGGUACCUAGCACUUGCUAGCCUAAGCUCUGUAACCAUGGUUGCAUGUCGACGCAAAGCCGAUCGCGUGCUGACAAUAAUGAAUACACUGUUUGUGUGCUGCU
Molecule: RNA transcript, 2750 nt
Organism: Panicum virgatum (switchgrass)
Lineage: Eukaryota; Viridiplantae; Streptophyta; Magnoliopsida; Poales; Poaceae
Gene name: phosphatidylinositol/phosphatidylcholine transfer protein SFH8-like
Exons: 16
Source: RefSeq, a predicted model, not a curated record